AAUUCAGCGGCCAGAGGUGAAAUUCUCGGAUUCGCGAAGACUAAACUAUGUGAAAGCAUUCACCAAGGAUGUCUUCUUUAAUCAAGAACGAAAGUUGGGGGAUCGAAGACGAUCAGAUACCGUCGUAGUCUCAACCAUAACAUAUGCCGACUAGGGAUGGGUGAACGUUGAUAUUCGAGUUCAUCAUACCAUUAUGAGAAAUCAAAGUGUUUCGGUUCCGGGGGGAGUAUGGUGGCAAGGAAGAAACUUAAAGGAAGGCACCGAAGGGCACACCCGGAGUGGAGCCGGCGGGGGAAUUUGAUUCAACUCGGGAAAACUUCCCAGGUCCGGACAUAGUGAGGAUGACAGAUGUCAGAUCCUUCCCGAUUCUAUGGGUGGUGGUGCAUGGCCGUUGUUAGUUCUGGAGAGAUGGGUACGGUUAAUUCCGUUCCCUAUCGAGACCUCAACCUGAAAUAUAGUUCCGCUAAUGUUUCCAGAUUGGGCCAGACUUCUUAGAGGGAAAGUCGGAGUGUAGCAAACGGAAGUUCGAGGCAAUAACAGGUCUGCCAUGCCAUUAGAUGAUUUGGGCCGCACGCGCAAGGAGCCCCGGCGGUCAUCAAGUUUACAACCUUGAAAGAGGACCCUUGGGUAAUUUUGGCCACAUGCCUCGUGCUGGGGAUAGAAUAUUCUAAUUAAUAAUAAUCAACGAGGAAUUAUCUAGUAAACGCAAGUCAUCAACAAGCAGCCAUUACGUACCCUCCCCUUAUACACACCGCC
Molecule: ribosomal RNA, 756 nt
Filed under: uncultured eukaryote
Lineage: Eukaryota
Description: bacterial SSU rRNA
Rfam family: Eukaryotic small subunit ribosomal RNA
Source: RNAcentral